Molecule: long non-coding RNA, 1546 nt
Organism: Oreochromis niloticus (Nile tilapia)
Lineage: Eukaryota; Metazoa; Chordata; Actinopteri; Cichliformes; Cichlidae
Exons: 5
Source: RefSeq, a predicted model, not a curated record
GCAUUGAAAGGAUAGGAAAGACCUGACCUCGAAAAGAUUACUAUCCAAGCAGGUUUUUCAGGUUUGUUUUAACUGUUGCUUGCUGUUUAUUGGCAAUAUGUCUGAGCAAAGUUUCUUUUUUUAAGUAUAUUCCCUCACAUCAGCUCUACCAAUCUAUUGAAGGUUGUUUACCUUGGUUAACUUUAAUAGAUUAAAGAUUGUUAAGAUAGAAAUCCACAGUUUUCAUACAAAAUGCAAUGCAUAGUUGUACUUGGGGUAUAAAUUACCCCUCUCGUCUAAGUUGUUGCAUUUGCUAAAAAGUUUGUUUUAUCCCUGGUGGGAGUCAUUUUCACAUAUUUAUUAACUCUUAAAAGAAAAAUCUGCUGCUCUUAGUAAAUGAAACAGGACGCCUCCUUUCUGCCAUCUGGAGAUUUAUGGAUAAAAGAGGAUGGUGCUUUGCAGGAAAACCGAAAAAUCUACCAUCGAAGCAACCUCUCUCCCUCUCUCUCUCUCUUGGUGUGUUUUCUUGUUGCUCUGUGUAUAUGUGUCUGCUUACUCCACAUUACCUUAGGGGGGCAGGAUCCUCCUGGGAUCUCCGCCCUCGCCCUGACGCACCUCAAGCAAUCAAGCACCUGUGAAUCAUCUGGCAAUCAGCUGACUGCUGUUUAAGCUGGGACCUGACCUUCAGUCUCUGUCUGAGUGUUGUCCAACUGUCGUAGUGAUUGCCUUGCCCAUCUGACAGUGAAGCAACCCUGUCAGAUGACUGUGGUUUGGAGGAAGUCCCUGCAAAGAGGCCGGCAGAGAGGCCUGAUACAGAGGGUGACAUUCGUUUGCUCUAUAAGAGAAGACUCCAGCAAAAAAUGGAGUAUACUGAGCUAAAGAAACAAAAGCUUCUAGGUGAAAUCGAACUUCAAGCUCUAAUGAGGCAAAAAGUUCAACUCGAAAUCGAGUUGCUUCAAAAGGAACUUCAGACUCUGCCACUAGGUUGGUCCAAGUGCACUGGCUGGAGGUCAUCAUCAGGCUGAACCUCCACCACAGGAGUCCUCUCCUUUCUGAUGGUGGCAAUGUUGUGCAGUACGGCACAUGCAACAAUAAUGUCACAUGCCCUGUCAGGUGCAACCCUUAGACUUUUCAGACACUGAAAUCUUCCCUUUAUUUGCUCAAAGGUCAUUUCAAUGCGUGCCCUUGUCCUGGCUAGAGCUGCAUUGUAGCGGGUUCGUGGCCCAGGGUUGGGGUCAGGGAACGGUGUCAUGAAGUACUGCCUGCAUGCAUAACCCCUGUCUCCAAGGAGAAUCCCAUCGUAGGCCCCUGUGUAAUGGAGAAAUGCUGUUAUGUUAGGCCCAAAAUAAGUAUGAAAUAUCAAAAUAAGUCUCUUUCUUACCACAAAUAAUGUGCAUAACCCUGACUCUCUGAAAAUUCUUGAGUCAUGCACUGAUCCGGGCCAUUUAGCUUCCACAUUUGUGAUAUGGCACAUAGAGUCACACACCAUCUAAGAGAUUUCAUUAUAUGUGAACACACUCCUUUUCAUUAUAUAUUACCAUCUAAAAUAUUAGUAUUACUCACCUGC